Fukomys damarensis (Damara mole-rat) is the source of this 107-nucleotide small nuclear RNA. NCBI's taxonomy places the organism in Eukaryota, Metazoa, Chordata, Mammalia, Rodentia, Bathyergidae. The record is from Ensembl.
GUGCUCGCUUCAGCAGCGCAAACGCUAACAUUGAAAACAUACGAGGGAGACCAACAUGGCCCCCACACAAGGAUGAUACACAAAUGUGUGCAGCACUCCGUAUAUAU